CAUAAUCAUUAGUUUUUUAAUUGGAAACUCGUAUGAAUGGUUAAACAAAAGAAAUACUGUCUGCUUUAUUAAAGUUUGAAUUUAACUUUUAAGUGAAAAGGCUUAAAUUACUCAAAGGGACGAUAAGACCCUAUAAAGCUUUAUAAAUAAUUAGUAAUUUAGUAAAAUAAACUAUAAAACAUAUUUUUAAAUAUUUAUUAUGUUGGGGCGACACAGAUAUAAUUUUAGUAACUAUCAGAUAAAUAAACAAUUAUUUUUGAAUAAAAUGAUCCUUAAAUUAAGAUUAGAAGACAAAGUUACUUUAGGGAUAACAGCGUUAUUCUUUUUGAGAGUCCCUAUCGAAAAAAGAGUUUGCGACCUCGAUGUUGAAUCAUAAAAUCUUUACAAUGCAGAAGUUGUAAAAG
Molecule: ribosomal RNA, 404 nt
Filed under: Teleophrys ruber
Lineage: Eukaryota; Metazoa; Arthropoda; Malacostraca; Decapoda; Mithracidae
Description: partial 16S ribosomal RNA
Rfam family: Bacterial large subunit ribosomal RNA
Source: RNAcentral